This 333-nucleotide ribosomal RNA is filed under the name uncultured Pseudomonas sp. RNAcentral describes it as "bacterial SSU rRNA". It matches the Rfam family "Bacterial small subunit ribosomal RNA", at positions 1050 to 1382 of the family's 1533-position model. Lineage: Bacteria; Pseudomonadati; Pseudomonadota; Gammaproteobacteria; Pseudomonadales; Pseudomonadaceae. The record is from RNAcentral.
UGUCGUCAGCUCGUGUCGUGAGAUGUUGGGUUAAGUCCGUAACGAGCGCAACCCUUGUCCUUAGUUACCAGCACGUUAUGGUGGGCGACUCUAAGGAGACUGCCGGUGACAAACCGGAGGAAGGUGGGGAUGACGUCAAGUCAUCAUGGCCCUUACGGCCUGGGCUACACACGUGCUACAAUGGUCGGUACAAAGGGUUGCCAAGCCGCGAGGUGGAGCUAAUCCCAUAAAACCGAUCGUAGUCCGGAUCGCAGUCUGCAACUCGACUGCGUGAAGUCGGAAUCGCUAGUAAUCGUGAAUCAGAAUGUCACGGUGAAUACGUUCCCGGGCCUU